UUCUUAUUGGAUGAUAACUUUCACGUGUCAUGUUCUGAAUGUCAACUCUAUGAAAGAUGAAAUGCAUUAUUGUUUUCAUUGAUUAAUUAGAACAUGACACGUGACAGUCAUCAUCU
Non-coding RNA from Glycine max (soybean), 116 nucleotides. Lineage: Eukaryota; Viridiplantae; Streptophyta; Magnoliopsida; Fabales; Fabaceae. The record is from Rfam.